Molecule: ribosomal RNA, 465 nt
Filed under: uncultured bacterium
Lineage: Bacteria
Description: partial 16S ribosomal RNA
Rfam family: Bacterial small subunit ribosomal RNA
Source: RNAcentral
GACGAACGCUGGCGGCGUGCUUAACACAUGCAAGUCGAACGGAAAGGCCCUGCUUGCAGGGUUCUCGAGUGGCGAACGGGUGAGUAACACGUGGGUGAUCUGCCCUGCACUUCGGGAUAAGCCUGUGCAACUGGGUCUAAUACCGGAUAGGAGCCAUUUUUAGUGUGAUGGUUGGAAAGUUUUUUCGGUGUAGGAUGAGCUCGCGGCCUAUCAGCUUGUUGGUGGGGUAAUGGCCUACCAAGGCGGCGACGGGUAGCCGGCCUGAGAGGGUGGACGGCCACAUUGGGACUGAGAUACGGCCCAGACACCGACGGGAGGGAGCAGUGGGGAAGAUUGCACAAGGGGCGCAAGCCUGAUGCAGCGACGCCGCGUGGGGGAUGACGGCCUUCGGGUUGUAAAAGCCAUUCGCUAGGGACGAAGCUUUUUGUGACGGUACCUAGAUAAGAAGCACCGGCUAACUACGUG